Molecule: long non-coding RNA, 1282 nt
Filed under: Zostera marina
Lineage: Eukaryota; Viridiplantae; Streptophyta; Magnoliopsida; Alismatales; Zosteraceae
Description: long non-coding RNA (ZMAR_LNC003034)
Source: RNAcentral
AAAAUAUCAUUGUCUAAUGAGGGGAUAUAAAAGGAGAAAUGAAAUAGAAAUAGUGGGGAAGAAUUACUAGAGAAGGUGAAAAAAAUAGACAAACACGGUAAACCCAUCCUCAAGAUCAAAUAUAAAAGGUAUCUCUAUCUCUAUCUUGAAUUUCUGCACUUUAAAAAAAAUUGCCAGCCUUUUAUACACUAUCUGUAUUAUGCUCCUAAUCUUAUUCCAAACUACUAGAGUUUAAAGGCCACAAUGCAUAUACACAUUUCAAUUACCAUCUGCUGCAUUUAUUUAAAUUUAAAUUUCAUCAAAAUUCAAACUUAUGGUUAACUAAUCAUUUUCUCAUUAAAACUUAGAAAAGAUCAAUGUUGAAUCCAACGUCAUUAUUGUGUCUAGCAUUUGGGUGUUAAUAAUUAGUCACAUAUCAGAUUUUUACCAUUAAAAUGAUCUCAAACAAGGUAAAAACCAAUAACAAUGUAUAUACAUGAAACAACAAAACUACCUAACUCCACAAGAUCAAAUACAGAUUGUAUAUUAGGGGGGAAAAAACCGAUACCCAUUUGUCAUAGUUUGGCAAAAAAGGGGAUAAAUUUAAAAACACUUAUAGACAUGGAAAAACACUACUAAAAAAUAAAAACUAAUAUAUCAGGAGAUUGAAAAAAAACAGAUCGUAAGAAAUGGAAAAACAAAUAUACCAUGAUGGAAAAAAUCAGAUCAUAGUAAAUGGAAAAAGUACUAUAGAUCGUAGUAACUGAAAAGGGAAAAAAACUUUACAAAACAGAACAUACUGGAAGAAAUUGCAAGAGGACGAAAAAAUGAGGAAAUCGAAAAUGAGGAAAAGAAGAAAUCAGGAGAUGCGACCGACCAAAAAUAAGCGGAAAACAGUGCUACCUGGCCGGAGACUUCCCGUCACGAGCGCCGGAUGUGUGAGACAUAACGUGCUGGAAGGAAGCUUGGAAAACGCGGCUGAGAAAGAGGGGCAACGAAAAAUAGAAGAGGGAAAAUGAGAUGUUGAGGGGAUCGAUUAGACUUUCCUUCAAGUUUUCAAUAGAUGUUGAGGAGAUGUUGCUGGAAAAGUGAAUUCACCCUUACGUCCACCAGUCUAUUGCAUGUUUAGCGUACUAUUGCCUGCAUGAGUGUCCUUCAGUCUGGAAAAUACUUACACCAACAAUGGACGGUCAGAAUUAAAAGGCUUGAAUUGGACGGUCAUGAUGGAGUUCUCAGAUAGUGCUCAUAUAGAGGUUCUUAGUAGAAGCGUUCUGCAUAUAUAUAUAUAUCAUAUGACUUGUGG